GACGAACGCUGGCGGCGUGCUUAACACAUGCAAGUCGAACGGAAAGGCCUGCUUUCCCUUGUGGAUUGCGGGUACUCGAGUGGCGAACGGGUGAGUAACACGUGAGUGAUCUGCCCCCAACUUGGGUAUAAGCCUGGGAAACUGGGUCUAAUUCCCGAUAGGACUGCAGGGUGGUGCCUGUGGUGGAAAACGAUUUUCUAGUGGUUGGGGAUGAGCUCGCGGCCUAUCAGCUUGUUGGUGGGGUAAUGGCCUACCAAGGCGGCGACGGGUAGCCGGCCUGAGAGGGUGGACGGCCACAUUGGGACUGAGAUACGGCCCAGACUCCUACGGGAGGCAGCAGUGAGGAAUAUUGCACAAGGGGCGGAAGCCUGAUGCUGCGACGCCGCGUGGGGGAUGACGGCCUUCGGGUUGUAAACUCCUUUCGACCGCGAGGAAGCCACCUGGUUGGAAGGGUGGUGACGGUAGUGGUAGAAGAAGCACCGGCUAACUACGUG
This 494-nucleotide ribosomal RNA is filed under the name uncultured bacterium. RNAcentral's name for it is "partial 16S ribosomal RNA". It matches the Rfam family "Bacterial small subunit ribosomal RNA", at positions 28 to 507 of the family's 1533-position model. The record is from RNAcentral.